CUGCUCGCCUGCAUGGUCUGUUCUUCUAAAAGCCAUGUAAGAAACACAAUCAUUCUGCUGUGUGCAUAUUUUGAUCAAAUUAAUGAAUGCUAGUUCGGUUGUUCGGCGUAGCUGUCUUACCAAGCUUUUCACAUUAAAUACCCUUUAUCAACAAACAAUUAAAUGAUGGGGAAAUUUCACGCCUGUAGACCCGAAUGAAUGAAUCAGAAUAUUUUAAUUAUUGAUUUCAGAGAAAUCACCCACAGCAUUGGCCAAAUCACUGCGGAAAUCCGGACUUCUUCAUGCACGUUUUUGACCUAACAACAAUCACUGCGAAAUAGCGCAGACCGUGUUUGACUUACGCUGGCCGCAUACGCAUUAAGACCUAUUUUCGCAAGACGCGACUAUAAGUGUGAUUUGGUUGUGUUGAAAGAACACUGUGCAUGUAUGAACUAUUUACAUCUCAUUGCGAUGGCGAUAUAAUAAAUUCAUAAUAAGCCUUGUGAGGCCACAUAUGAUCACAUGUAGUAUAUUUUUAUCUAAGGACAAAAUUGUUCGGUUUGAAUAUACGUGCACUUUAUAAGAAACACAUCAUGCGGUGGAUAUGCGACAAUUAAACCUUUAUUUUCUAUUUAAAUAUUUAUAAACGUGAAUAUACGACUUGCUUUAACGAUACAAGCGUUAAUUCGUUACUGAUAGGAUCAUGCGGCAGCAAUGAAUAGGACACUCCUCGUUCUCUGGUUGCUUGAUGUGGCGACUGCAGAAGUGGCUCAGCAAAGCGUCUUCGUUGGAGCAAACAACCCUGCAUUCUGGACACCGAUUGUGCGCCUCCUUUAAAUAUAAAACUUUGUGAAACAUAAAAAUAUAUUAAACAUUUAUUUUUCAUCAUUUUAACCAAUAAAUACCUACUAAACAAGAA
Molecule: long non-coding RNA, 898 nt
Organism: Dreissena polymorpha
Lineage: Eukaryota; Metazoa; Mollusca; Bivalvia; Myida; Dreissenidae
Exons: 2
Source: RefSeq, a predicted model, not a curated record